RNAcentral lists this ribosomal RNA (253 nucleotides) under uncultured bacterium. RNAcentral's name for it is "partial 16S ribosomal RNA". It matches the Rfam family "Bacterial small subunit ribosomal RNA", at positions 524 to 776 of the family's 1533-position model. The record is from RNAcentral.
GACGAACCGUGCGAACGUUGUUCGGAAUCACUGGGCUUAAAGGGCGCGUAGGCGGGCCGCCAGGUCGGGGGUGAAAUGCCGCAGCUUAACUGUGGAAGUGCCCCCGAUACCGGCGGCCUCGAGGGGGAUAGGGGCGUGUGGAACUUCCGGUGGAGCGGUGAAAUGCGCAGAUAUCAGGAGGAACACCGAUGGCGAAGGCAGGUCUCUGGGCCACUACUGACGCUGAGAAGCGAAAGCAUGGGGAGCGAACAGG